Molecule: long non-coding RNA, 704 nt
Filed under: Homo sapiens (human)
Lineage: Eukaryota; Metazoa; Chordata; Mammalia; Primates; Hominidae
Description: long independently transcribed non-coding RNA 3156 (LINC03156)
Source: RNAcentral
AUUGGCAAGAGUGGGGACAUGGAAGCUGUGUUCAGGCCGGUCCACGCUGGGUGACCCAUGUGACCUGCUGCUUAGCAAUUCCUUGUCACCAUCUUCCCUUCUCAGCCUCUUUUUUCAUGCUAACAGGCAUAAAUGAAAUGAUAAAAGUUUGAGCUCUUCUCGUGGAAUUCUCGUGAUACAGAUAUGUGCUACAUGUUCAUCAUCUCGUUGGUCUUCACCAUGAUAACUGUGGAGUAAGAAUUAUAAGCAGGUCACAGAUUAGGGACUUGAGAUUGACAGUUUGGCUUCCCUGUUCUGGGUGGCAAAGCCUGUGGAGUACUCACCUACCUGCUGCAUGAAGGCAGCAUGGAGGGACUGUGGUGGAUUAUCUGCAAAGAUGGCCAAAAUUCUCUCAUCCCUGCAGGCACAUACAAGAUGCCAGAAUCAGUCAAAACUAAGCUCACUGUCCUUGCUAAUAUUCUGCCCCAGAGAAGAACUGAAGCUCAGCUCUUCACCCUACAGAAAGCCUGAAUUUUGUAAAUGUUCUGCUUAGAAUGAGGAAGAAAGAUGAAGAAUGAGGAGGAAGAAGGAAGGAACGAGAGAGAGGUAAAGCCAACAAGCAGAACAGACCUACAUUUGCAGCAUCUCCAAGUUUCUGCAACAGCAUUAUGUUGUUGUUAUGUUUUGUUUUAAUAAAAGCACAUACCAUUAAAAAAAAAAAAAAA